Danaus plexippus (monarch butterfly) is the source of this 1465-nucleotide long non-coding RNA. RefSeq lists it as uncharacterized. Lineage: Eukaryota; Metazoa; Arthropoda; Insecta; Lepidoptera; Nymphalidae. The record is from RefSeq and is a predicted model, not a curated record. The transcript is spliced from 4 exons.
UUCCCUGGUAGCGCUUGUGAUAAUAUUACCGUUGGGUAAUCUAAGUUUGGAUCAUGCAAAAUAACAAAUUAGUUUGUAAUAAAUAUAUAGCAACAUAUAAUAUGAAGAAAUCUUUAUAUAAAAUUAAUACUAAAAGUUGUUCGCUGGGUGCGUGACUCCAGCGCCAUCUAACGAUACAACUUACGGUGGCUCUUUUGAGAAAAUAAACAUGUAUUGGAUGUCAAAUAGUUAUUGAAAAAAUAAAAUGAACUUGUGAAAAAUUUUUUAUCAAUGUGAAAUAUGAUAUAUUACACAGAGUGAAUAUUAAUAAUUUUUCCGUGGGUCAGCUAAAAACAAUAAAAAAUGGAAUUGGUGUUAAGAAGGGGUUUUCAAUCUAUCACACAUAAUAUUAUUUUUCAACCACAGACUCUGAUAAAGGAUUAAUGAGACACGAUUUGUGACAGAUGUCAAGUGUGAUUGUGUUUACAGUCAGUUUCAGUUUUUUCGCUGAUUUAAUUUCCACUUGGCAACCGGAAACUUAUAAAAUUUACAAUUACUAUUCCUACUAGUAUUUUUGCAAUCGACUACACAGCAACUUUGAUGACCCAUUUUAUUUUAUUUAUUUAAUUAAACUGACACUCGUGUUAUUGUUAUGGUCAUAGAUAAUAAAGAGCCACCCGUAGUUUUGUAUUGUCCGCAGCGAGCGCUGACAUCACUUUUGUGUCCCCCACUAUGCUUUAUGCACCCAGCGAAUACUAUUUUUUAAAUUAUUUAUUGCAACUUCUAAUCAAAAGUGACGCUCAAGGUAACUGUAAAUACCGCCAUCUAUCGUCAAUUGUGUAUAAUAUAAUGACAAGUUGACGGAGCACCAAUUAUAGAUGGCGACUAUAAACAUAAAAAGACAACCGCUCAAUUCAAGAACAAAAUGUAGGCUGACUUCUAAAAGGGCUUCUCAUUUAUGCUCUAAUGAUGAAAUGCUGACUUGACUAUUACGGGGCCUCAUUUAGGCAUUAACCCUUACAUUUCUAGGGUAUAACAAUACGACGUUCCUUUCCAUUGCGACGUUCCUCGUGUGGUCUUAAUUUUUUUAAGGAGCUUUGCAACCUAUGUUUAUGUUUUUUUAAAUAAAUUUAUAAAAGUUUAUAAAAAAUCAGAGGCUUUAUAUUGCUUCAGAAUAUUGAAGAAGAAUUCUUAAAUUUAUAUCUUGAUAGUUUUUAAAAUUACUAUAAUAUUAUAUUUAAAAUUAUACUCAGUGAUGAUAAAAUGUAUAAAAGUCAUUCUUAAUGCAACUUAGUGAAAAAUUUAACCUUUAUGAAUUAUACUAGUAAGACUAUAUCUAACCAAGUGCCAUUUUAUUUAAAAAAAAUAAUUGUUAAGUUGUCAAUUUUGACGUUUACAUUUGGACACGUUACUUAAUACCAUAUAAUAUAUCUUUAAUACAAUAGGAACGAAAGGUUUAACUUUUUUUCUUGUGAACCAAGAAACA